RNAcentral lists this ribosomal RNA (253 nucleotides) under uncultured bacterium. RNAcentral's name for it is "partial 16S ribosomal RNA". It matches the Rfam family "Bacterial small subunit ribosomal RNA", at positions 524 to 776 of the family's 1533-position model. The record is from RNAcentral.
UACGAAGGGGGCUAGCGUUGUUCGGAUUUACUGGGCGUAAAGCGCACGUAGGCGGACUCUUAAGUCGGUGGUGAAAUCCUGGAGCUCAACUCCAGAACUGCCUUCGAUACUGAGAGUCUUGAGUCCGGGAGAGGUGAGUGGAACUGCGAGUGUAGAGGUGAAAUUCGUAGAUAUUCGCAAGAACACCAGUGGCGAAGGCGGCUCACUGGCCCGGUACUGACGCUGAGGUGCGAAAGCGUGGGGAGCAAACAGG